Long non-coding RNA from Cornus florida, 1010 nucleotides. RefSeq lists it as uncharacterized. The transcript is spliced from 4 exons. The record is from RefSeq and is a predicted model, not a curated record. NCBI's taxonomy places the organism in Eukaryota, Viridiplantae, Streptophyta, Magnoliopsida, Cornales, Cornaceae.
UAGGCGCAAUUAAUAAAAUUACUUAAAAAAUAUAGUUGGAAAAAUGAAUUUAAGUUAUUUUACAGUGUAUUAAAGAGCCCGUGAAUAAAUUUUACACUUAAGGCGCCUUUUUUGUGCUGUAAAUAAGUUCCCACCAAACUGCCAAAAGUGGCAAAGUAAAUAGCCGGACAAAAAAGGAAAAAACCCACCAAAAAAACUUUCCCACCAAAAAAUUUCACUCCCUCGCCAAAGUGCCAAAGUGGCAAACUAAAUAGGCGGACAAAAAAAGAAAAAAAGAAAAAACCCAUUUUAAAGUUUUUCUUCCCAAAAGAAGCUUCAACGAGAGUGUGGAAAGAGAGAGACCUGAAUUUCUUAUCUAUCGAUUUCUUUGGACGAACCGUGUUGAUGGCAGUAAUUUGAGGAAAGAAAGCUUGAUUUCCUAAACUCAUCUUUCUCAGAUUGGACUCCCGACGGUGUCGAUCAUCAGCGAAGAGGUUAGGGUUUUCAACCAGCGACCAAAAAUUGAAGUUGAAUCGAGCCACCAUGGAUGACGAUUGAAAGUGGUCAGCGAGAAUCAAGUAUAAUCACUAUUUAGGGAGCUCGGUGUACCUCACUGCUGAUAGCAACUAAAAAUUCAGUGAUUUAGAGAAAAGAUAGCAGAAAGAAGAAAGUCUUUGCAGGAACUUACUUCCUGGUGCUACAAGCUACUUUCGUGGAUUUUGUACCGUGGAUUUUGCAGCUACUUCCUUAGAUUUUGUACCGUGGAUUUUGCAGCUACUUCCUUGGAUUUUGUACAGUGGAUUUUGCAACUACUUCCUUGGAUUUUGUACAGUGAGGUGGUUUUUUGACAAGUGCAAACUGAAACUCAAGUGCUAGAAGGUUUAUCAAUUUUUCAAUAGAAGUGUUAGGAAAUUGAUGAUUUUCUUGACAAAUGGAUUUACUUCCUGUUUUGGAACAUUGAUAAAUAUUGAAUUGUUUUGGCACAUUGAUAAAUAAUGAAUUGUAAAAAUAUUUUAAUUUUUUUGAUAUGU